RNAcentral lists this ribosomal RNA (1307 nucleotides) under Phyllodactylus davisi (Davis' leaf-toed gecko). RNAcentral describes it as "partial 16S ribosomal RNA". It matches the Rfam family "Bacterial large subunit ribosomal RNA", at positions 53 to 2563 of the family's 2925-position model. Lineage: Eukaryota; Metazoa; Chordata; Lepidosauria; Squamata; Phyllodactylidae. The record is from RNAcentral.
NUAAUAAGUUAGCCGCCCCACCUNUAAACCACCCCNUUUUCCCCCCCCCAACUAAACCAUUCGCCAAAUGCAGUAUUGGAGAAAGAACCAUUCCCCCGCGCAAUAGCCAAUAGUACUAUAUAGGAACACUGAAAGACCAGUAAAUAAUGAAGCACAAAACAGCAGGGCCCAUCACCCGUACCUCUUGCAUCAUGGUUUAACCAGCCCCACCCAGAUAAAGUGCACUAAAACCUGCUCACCCGAACCCAGACGAUCUACCUUAAAGCAAUCACUAUGGAUGCACCCCCCCCUGUGGCAAAAGGGCGGGAAGACUUCAAGGUAGCGGUGAAACGCCAAUCGCGCCUGGCGAUAGCUGGUUGCUCAUUAAAUGAAUCUAAGUUCAACUCUAAGCACCCCCCCCACGAACCCUUAACCACAGAUGUCUUGCCUAGAAGUUAUACAAGUAGGGACCAGCCUGCAUGUAAUCGGAAACAGCCCCCUUGGAGGGACAGAAACCCCAUCUCUUACCUGUGGGCCCUAAAGCAGCCACCCAAAAAAACCGCGUCAAAGCACCCAAUGCAAAAAUAAGCCACACCUCUACGAACCCCCAACCCACAACCCGAGCCACCCUGGACUUAAUCCAGAGGAGACCCUGUUAAAACUAGUAAUUCGAAUCCCUUCUCUUUCGCACGUCUUUACACCGGCACGGAUUGUCCCACCGGUAAUUAACAAACCCACACCACCCUCAACCCUGUCACCCCGACACAGGUGUGCGCCAGAGCUCGGCAAAAAGUCGCAAAAGGAACUCGGCUAACCCUGCCCCACCUGUUUACCAAAAACAUGGCCUUUAGCUUUACAAGUAUUAAAGGUCCCGCCUGCCCAGUGAUCCUAUUCAACGGCCGCGGUACUCUAACCGUGCAAAGGUAGCGUAAUCACUUGCCCCUUAAAUAGGGGCUCGUAUGAAUGGCUAAAUGAGGGCCAAACUGUCUCCUACGACCAGCCAAUGAAACUGUUCUUCCAGUACAAAAACUGGAAUACCCACACAAGACGAGAAGACCCUGUGGAGCUUUUAACUACCCCACCAAGCCUACGCUCAUGGUGCUAACUUUAAGUUGGGGCAACUACGGAGAGCCACCCAACCUCCACGAAACAGAGCCCAAGCCCGUCCUAGGCCUACAAGCCAAAAACAAACACCAAAGACCCAGCACAGCUGAACAUCGAACCAAGUUACCCCAGGGAUAACAGCGCCAUCCCCCUUAAGAGUCCCUAUCGCCAGGGGGGUUUACGACCUCGAUGUUGGAUCAGGACACCCUGGCGGUGUAGCCGCU